Long non-coding RNA from Eufriesea mexicana, 258 nucleotides. RefSeq lists it as uncharacterized. The record is from RefSeq and is a predicted model, not a curated record. NCBI's taxonomy places the organism in Eukaryota, Metazoa, Arthropoda, Insecta, Hymenoptera, Apidae. The transcript is spliced from 3 exons.
UGCUACCUGUUGUGCUCCCCAUGACUCCACGGUUGAAGAAACGACAUAGAAGCUAGGUUAGAACUGGAAAAAUGGAAGUGAUAAAGAGGCCCAUGCGAAACAUCUUUAUAAGGACUCGGGGGUACUGAAGUCUUUGAACGCACCUUUUCGGAUCGUCCUUCAUGUCAAAGCCAUCGAUCUUCAAGAUAUUCCAGUCCUCCCUGGACCCCUUCGAGUAGCUAAACGACACCUGGAACAGAGAACACGGAAUGGUGAUUA